This 487-nucleotide ribosomal RNA is filed under the name uncultured bacterium. RNAcentral's name for it is "bacterial SSU rRNA". It matches the Rfam family "Bacterial small subunit ribosomal RNA", at positions 903 to 1397 of the family's 1533-position model. The record is from RNAcentral.
AAAUGAAUUGACGGGGGCCCGCACAAGCAGUGGAUUAUGUGGUUUAAUUCGAAGCAACGCGAAGAACCUUACCAGGUCUUGACAUCGUGCGCAUACUACAGAGAUGUGGGAAGCCCUUCGGGGCGCACAGACAGGUGGUGCAUGGUUGUCGUCAGCUCGUGUCGUGAGAUGUUGGGUUAAGUCCCGCAACGAGCGCAACCCUUACGAAUAGUUGCUACGCAAGAGCACUCUAUUAGGACUGCCGUUGACAAAACGGAGGAAGGUGGGGAUGACGUCAAAUCAUCAUGCCCCUUAUGACCUGGGCUACACACGUAAUACAAUGGCGGUCAACAGAGGGAAGCAACGCCGCGAGGCCGAGCGAAUCCUCAAAAGCCGUCUCAGUUCGGAUUGCAGGCUGCAACUCGCCUGCAUGAAGUCGGAAUUGCUAGUAAUCGCGGAUCAGCACGCCGCGGUGAAUACGUUCCCGGGCCUUGUACACACCGCCCGU